CCUACGGGAGGCAGCAGUAGGGAAUAUUGCUCAAUGGGGGAAACCCUGAAGCAGCAACGCCGCGUGGAGGAUGAAGGUUUUCGGAUUGUAAACUCCUUUUGUUAGAGAAGAUAAUGACGGUAUCUAACGAAUAAGCACCGGCUAACUCCGUGCCAGCAGCGGCGGUAAUACGGAGGGUGCAAGCGUUACUCGGAAUCACUGGGCGUAAAGAGCGCGUAGGCGGGAUAGCAAGUCAGAUGUGAAAUCCUAGGGCUUAACCAUAGAACUGCAUUUGAAACUGUUAUUCUAGAGUAUGGGAGAGGUAGGUGGAAUUCUUGGUGUAGGGGUAAAAUCCGUAGAGAUCAAGAGGAAUACUCAUUGCGAAGGCGACCUGCUAGAACAUAACUGACGCUGAUGCGCGAAAGCGUGGGGAGCAAACAGGAUUAGAUACCCCUGUAGUC
This 440-nucleotide ribosomal RNA is filed under the name uncultured bacterium. Its description in RNAcentral is "partial 16S ribosomal RNA". It matches the Rfam family "Bacterial small subunit ribosomal RNA", at positions 338 to 795 of the family's 1533-position model. The record is from RNAcentral.